Molecule: long non-coding RNA, 2143 nt
Organism: Diachasmimorpha longicaudata
Lineage: Eukaryota; Metazoa; Arthropoda; Insecta; Hymenoptera; Braconidae
Exons: 5
Source: RefSeq, a predicted model, not a curated record
AUUCCGAUCGUUCAUAAAGCGAAAAUGUUUGACGCUUUUUGCGGGCAAGGGGGUAGUAAAUGCUCUUAUUGCAAUAUUCUGUCCUCGCGCUUGUUCCAUCGUUGCUGAAGUGCUUUCUGUCGAUUAAACAUAAUAAUAAAUGCCGCACUGCGGAUCAUUUAAUUGUCCCCAACCGAGUUUUUUUUUUUUCUGUCGCAAUCGUGCCCAAUCUUUUGCGCAACGAAGUGGUGGGGAAAAAAAAUAAUUCUCUGUAAAAUAAAAACAAUAGUUGAUAAUUCCGAUAUUAAUUCCAAGUCACGUACACCAAUUUCAUCUAUAACGAUGUCUACGUAUGUUUUUUUUAUUGGAAGUAAUUGUGUAUUUGAAUUUCUGGUUAGAGAACGCUGAUGCGUGUGUAGUAUCCAGGAAUAUCGUAAUGCAGUCACUUCUCGAACCUGAUACAUCAACGGAAAAUGAAAAUAGUAAAGCAGAUGGGAAAAUUAAAGCAUUCACAUUUGUGUUUACGAAUAAACUGUGGUCCUAGUGCUGUGGUGGAGUAUAACAGGAUCGUGUGAUGAAACAGCAGCUGAAAUUUUUUCAAAAUGUUAAUGGUGAAGUGUUUUAUGAGCGAAAAUGUGCUGAUGGUUUUAAUCAUACUAGAAAUGCUCGUCAUUUAUUCUGACAGUCAUCAAUAAUUCUCGUGACAUUCGCUGGAAGAAUGAAGAGGACAAGAAUUUUGAGGAAUAUGUUCUUGAAGUUAGAGUGAGUCAACUUGAGGGCAAUUUAGAAAGAUAAAUAUUUAUUGAGGAUUUACCGUCAUUUGUUGCUAAAUGUUCGUGUGCCAUUGACGUGAAGUCGUGACUGGGAAAAAAUCCAGUGUUGGCCUGGGUAACAUCCAGAAAAGUCGUGACACUGUCACCCUUGGAGCAUGAUCCAUUAAAGAGCAAUAAAAAUAGAGAACAAAAAUGGGGAUGAAACCGUUGACAUUUGCAUUACCGAAUAAUUGAUAUUUCCAUCGCUACGGAAAAAUAUGACAGACUCUAUGACGACGUGUGUCAACCUUAGCUUCUCGCCUCAUUGCAUCGAUAUAUCGAUGUGACGCCCAGAUGUCAACGCGAUAUUAUCGUGCAUUCAUCACGGAAUCGUAAAUGCAUCGGAGGCCAGAUUGUUUUUGACACGCCAUUUGUUCCGGAAUGUUCGACUGACGCUGAAGGUUGGAAGAAGAAUGUGAAUUCCGGAAGUAAAAGAGGAUUUUAAUAUUUUUUCAAGUGAGAAAACCGAAGUCUAUGGCGAAUCGCAAAAAAAAGAUUUGGGAAAAAAAAAUUGGAAAAGAUCAGAAUAUUUUUGUAGAAGUUUCACCCGAAAUAUGCGGCUCUUGGAGAAUCUCAUAAGGUUAAAAUGCUAAUUAGAACGUUUUUUUUUCAUUAAUUUAUUGAAGAUGAAUGGAAGUGCGUCCCUCACGUUUUCGAAAAUUUCGAGGAAUAUUUUUGAGAAAAAAAAAUGUCAUUCUAGAAUGGGAUAAGUCCACUCAACUCUGGAAUGAGUGUCAGAUGAGUAUCUCUAAAUCCACUAGAUAGCAGGAUUUUCAUGAGAAUAUUCUCUCGUCUGUAGGGAAAACGUAAAUGAGUACAGCUUUACUUCAAGCAUUUUUCCGAAAAUUUAAUUGAUCUUUUGUGUUUGAGCGGAUUAUUUUUCACACGUCCGUUCUUUCGUGAUCUUCGGAUAAUAUUGAAAAUUGAGGAAAGAACUUCAAUGCGUUGAGUAAAAAGUGAUUCGCUUUAUUUUAUAAUGAAAAAAUGAAAAGAUGUUCUAAAGUGCUGCUAAAAGUUUCAAAACAUUAAAUACUUUUGGGAAAACGUUUACGGUAUUUUUAAUAAUAAUGAAGACCUUCUCUUUUAUGAAGAAAUAGAAAAGCUGAAAUACAUCAAGUUUUCAUUUACGAUUAAAAACAAAAUGUGACCCCGUAUUCGGGCUCGUUUCACCCUACGAUCUCUAGGAGUCGAAAAAUCCGCCAAAAAAGUAGAUAUGGACCCUAUAAUAUUCCCAGGGCCCUAUAAAAGUCCUAAAUCGCGUCAGAAAUCCAACGACAUUGAAAUUAUAACGCUGAACCAAUUAUUUUUCGAGAUAUCUGUGAAUAACCCAAGUUAUCUCGCAUUCCAUCCCU